CAAUCUGUCACCAUAUUCGAUUGAACACUGGCAAUCAAAAUCGAUGAAGGAAACGUGGGGUUGUGGUGGUGCAGAUCUGGCUGGAAAAACGUUUUCAGAUCUCAAAAUCAUGGUGUUAGUGGUGGUGACAGGUGUUUUCUUUCGAUCAAUCUGUCUAUGAUUAUUCAAGCCUAAAUCAUGGAAGGGAUUAUUUAACCCCAAAUCUUAACCGGAGGAUCUGGAUUAGUUUGUGUGUACUGAUUACGUUAUUGGUGUUUAGAGGCUUCGAUAAGUGAUGAUCAAGAACCCUAAUUCUCUGCCUGUCUUCUACAAUAUUGAAUCGUCUCUGAAAUCUCAAAGGGUGUAUUGGUGUUUGAAGUUCUUGAAUCAUGAUUGUCUUUGAAAUCUCAAUUCUGCAAUGAUUUAACACGACCAUUCGAUUUCAGCCUAAUCGUAAGUCCUCUCCAUCCUUCCCUCUCGGCACAUACAUUUGGGAAUUGAUUUCCUGAUUUCAGAUCUGCUUUUAUGCUUCACCUUCUCUUAUUCGAAUAACCAUUGCGAAUUUGAUUUUGUGCAUCAGGGUAUAGUACAGAUAUAGUGUCAUGGAACAUCAACGUGGAUACUGUUUUGAGUUAGACUGUUGUUUUAUGUUAAUGAGAUGCUAUUAGUUCUUUUUUUGGUGAAACUAUUGCUUACUCAAAUGGAUGGUUAAGUUAUGAUAAGUUUAAUACACUUCCUUUGAUGCAAACUAUAUAUAAGUUGAAUUUUGGGUUAUUGGGUUAUUGUUCAGUCUCAGAGCUUUAAGACAUUUAAACUACACAAUUUCAUUAAUUAUAGUCUCACGUAGGGGUGGUAAUCGUGUUGAGUUGGCGGGUUGCAGGUUGGCGUGUCAUUUGAAAAUUUUUAUUUGAAUUUGGCGGGUUGGCAUGCCAUUAUUUAUAAUCUUAAGGCUGAUCGAUAUGGUGCAGAAUGGAAAGGGAGGCUAGAACUUUCAACUUGACGCUUAUAAUUGAGAAACAUAGGCUGAUCGAUAUUAUGAACUAUAUCUGAGUCAAUGUGAAUGCCCUCUUGGUUGAGGAAUUAAGUGUUCCUGAGCAUCUUCGCUUCAAAAAACUGGUUGAUGGAACGCUGAUUACUGUUAGAGAAGACCUUGGAAAACACACCAAGAAAUGGUGCAGGCUAGGUUGCGUUGUUUGUGACAAAAACGAUUAGUGCCACCAGUAUUGAUGCUGCUAGACUUCAUGCCAUACGGGUACUUGAAUGUUUGGAGAAAUAUAUAACUGAACAUGCUGCUGGUGAUGCAGGUACACAUUCGGUUAUCUCCAAAGAAAACAGCUUUGUACAAGCAAAGGAGCAGAGUUCAUAUUAUUACUCUUCGAUACCUGUGAUCCUUCUAUGAAAACAAUACUUGAGGCCUAUGCGAUCAAAACACACUGGGGCGCCACACACUUUUUUAACACCAAGAUCUUAGUCAUGGAGAAUUAGAAUAGUUGAUGAUAACUAAUGGACAUCUUAAUAGUCAAGGGGUACUGCUAUCACUGUUGCAGCAAUUGGCAUGUGAUAUUGGGAAUGAUACAUCUAAGAAACUUGGUUGGAUGAUGGAUCUGGUGGUGGUGAUUAAACCAACUGAUGGGAUCAUCACAAUGUAUAUAAGGCCGAUAUUUGAACAAGUGUACUCGAUCAGAUGAUUGUUCCCACAACUUUAGUUGCUGAGCUUUCCAGUAUUCGUGUGGUCACGAAACUCAUAAACUCGACGUUAAGGAGCAUGUAAGUAAUUUAGAGAUUAUUAGAAUUUUUGUAAUCAGAAUUGGACAUUUUGGUUUCACUUAGUAUUUUUUUUUUUUUUUUU
Helianthus annuus (common sunflower) is the source of this 1828-nucleotide long non-coding RNA. RefSeq lists it as uncharacterized. The record is from RefSeq and is a predicted model, not a curated record. The transcript is spliced from 9 exons. NCBI's taxonomy places the organism in Eukaryota, Viridiplantae, Streptophyta, Magnoliopsida, Asterales, Asteraceae.